GGCAUGCGAAAAGCAACGACCAGGCACACACGUCUCACGCCCCUAUCUGCUAGCAACCUCCUCGCUCCUCCCCAUCCCAUCUCCCUGCUGAAAAAAUCGCCACGCCAUCCACGCCGCUCACGAUCCCCGCUGCGGCGUCUGCGUCGAUGGGCUCCCCUCGGUCCUCCUCCACCAAGCACCCGCCCUCCCAUGGUCGUGGUCCAUCCUCUACCAAGCUCUUGAUUGGGAGUCCCACGAGGUUGGGAGUCCCUUGAGGCCUUACCACGACCAUGGAAUCCCUUGCCCUCGCCUGCGUCGAUGGACCCGCCCGUGACCGGACCGAGAGCAUGUUAUCUAGCUGCGCCUCGCGAUCCCCCCACUGCGGCGCCCUGCCCCGUGCUGACGCCGCGGGCGCGGGCGGCUCAGCCCGCCGGGAAGGCGGGCUUUCCCCCCGCCGCGCGGACCGGCGCGCUCAGGUGAAGCUGCUCGCCGGGUUACCCCGGCGCCCGCCUUUCGUCUACCCACCGUGUCGUCGGGUGAUCUCUGUGUGCGCCGUUUAUGCAGGGCCAGCAGGGGAUGCGCCACUCUGCCGCUGGUCCCGCCGUGCCGGAGCCGGUGGAGCGCCGUCGUGUGCAACGCGUCGGUGUACAUCAUCCCGCUCAUGAAGCAGUGUGUCUCCGUCGCGGCCGCGGCGUGAGUGCCUCCCCCAUCUCAUCGUCGAUACCCAAAGAUCUUGGAUGAGUUACUGGGGCUGUUCAGGCCAUGACUCCAAAUUGCAAUUGCUAUCUUGAGGACGGGCAAUCUUGUGUAACUGAAAAGUGCUCUUGCUUGCUAAAGGCACAGGCAUACACAAAUCCUUCAUCGUGCCAUUGUUUGUUCUGCAAGCACCUAGCACUGUAAUCUCAUGGAUCAAGAGUGAAUAUGGGAUGUGGACUGCUUUUCUUGCGCUUGCAGUGCGUUUGUUCUUACCCUUUCCAGGUGACCUAGAGCUUCCGCAGUCAACAAUGCUGGCGGUCAGCGUUGCUCCUUACCAGGUGAUGAAUGUGAGAUGUGCAAAGCAACAAUUAUAUACCCCACUGUGUUGGACCCAAAUACCUUCCGGAAAGAAGUUCUGAAGGGUGGGAUACUAGACAACCAUGUAAUUUCAGCUAUAUCUUUAUUAUAUAAAAUAGGUGGAAUUUUAGGUAUGUUCUGCUAUCCCCCCCCCCCUCUCUCUAAUUUGGUGCUAUUGGUUUGUUAAGGUACCUAUUUAUUUUGAGUUUUUUCUGUGCCAAACACAAAGGUUGAAUGUAUGGCUUAGCACUAACUUCAUGUGGGUUUUUCUGCUCAAGUUAUUUCAGUUAUAUUCCUCAGUUAAUACUUCGCAGGAUCUUGAGGAGUUCUUUUGUGUUGUAUUGCUUUGAAGGUGAAUCUCAUUCCUCGGAUUUUGCUCUGUUGUCGUAGCACUUUCAGAUUUGAAGUUAUGUUUCUCAAGUAAGAAGUAGUAUCUUUGUGCUUUUAGCAAUGAGAAUAUUUGAGGAACUACCUAUUACAACAUCAUUUUCUAGGAAAAUUAGAUCAUAACAAGAGACGAUGAAUCAUUUAUUUUCUUUGUUGUGGGUAGGGUCAAAUUUUGAAUUACCAAGCUUUUGUAUGAUUUUGAUUGACCAGGCUUGCUUGCUGCUUGCUUGUCAAUCAAGCUAUGUUGGUCGAUUUUAGAGACAAACUUGUCUUCGAAUAAGACUAUCUAGAAGCAGCAAGGCAAAGACAUCCAUUGCAUUACUAACUGGGAUAAUUUUGACUUGUUAGCUACACCCUUUGGAUGGUCCUAAUUGUAGAAAGUUAUUAUAGACAAUCAACCCUUCAAAUUUCACCAUCAUGAAAGAAUCUAAAUAUAGUAUGUUUUCUUCUCUUACUUUUUUAUUAUACUCUUCUACUCUUAUAAUUCAUCAAAUGCUAACUAUUACCUUCACUUUAAUGCUCGGAACCCCUGGUUGAUAAUUUAUAGUGGGUCAGUUCUGUGUUGAUUUCUCUCAUGAUGAUUGAUGCUUUGUUACAUAGAUAGAAAAAAAAUUGAGAAAUCAGAUGGAGAAGGAAUGGCACAACCGUGAAAAAUAAGUCAGAUGCUUGUUGAAAGAUAUAUACUGUGAGUUUCAUAUAUUUUGGUUAUAUAAGGAUUCAAUUUUUUAAGGAGGCCGGAGUGGAGAAGUAGAUGUGACAUAGAGAAACAUGGCUAUGCAGGGGAAGCGGGAAAUCACACUUUGACAAAUGUUUCUAUAGUCAUGUGUUAUUCUGUAGCCACUGAGCAAAUGCAUCGACAUACAUGUGUCAGAGACGCUGUAUGCUCUUUGAUUGUUGAUAAUUUUUUGUUUCUCGUGGACCUUGUUUGACUUUUGGAUGUGGUGUGAAUUCUAUGGGCUAAUAUGUCAAGCUUUCGAUGGUUCACUAUGUACGCUUGUUUGGUGAUUCAAUAUUUGUCAGUGUGGUAAUAAGCCACAUACGACACAAAUUCUUCUAUUUUGCCGAACACAUCCUCUUGAAGUACAAGAUAUUUUUAUAACCAUGUCUACAACUCAUGAUCUCUAUGCCUAAAUUUAUUGUUUGGUGCCAUUGUGACCAAUAUCCCUUAAAACAUGGAUGUUCCCGCCUUUCGCUCUGGUCGACGCGACCGCUCGCGCUGAUUUUGAACGAAAAUUCAAUCCAAGGAGCGACCGCUCGCGCUGAUUUUGAACGAAAAUUCAAUCCAAGGAGCGGGAAGGGACUGCUUUGGCCCACAAAAGAAAAAAGAAGAAAAGAAAACGCAACCAAACCACAGCCAGGCCGCGCGGCUUCUCUCUCUGUCUUGCUCCUCUCUCGAUCCCCUCCAGAUCCAACCGCCACCGCCGACCUCCGUCCUCUCCCCCAACCCCAGCUCCAACUCCGGCCUCCACUCCACCGCCGGCGAUCCAUCCGUUCCCCUCCUCUCGCUCGCCGUAGAUCCGCUCGAGCAGCGCAGCCCACGGUCAGAUCAGAUCCUCGCGCCCGGAACCCUAGCCCUCUGGCCAUGGCGACCGGCCGCAGCACAGGUUGGAGGUGCCACCAUGGAGUCCUCUGCCGGGGACGCCGCCCAAGUGCUCGUCAAGGCCCGCUGCUCCUUCUUCCUCCUUUUCCUCAAAUUCAAGGGCAAUCAGCAGCACACGCCAUCCUCAAGGCGCACGGUUCUUCUCUUCUCUGAUGGAUGGAUGGGUUGGUCGUGGAGGAGGAGAACGACCAGGAGAAUAGGGAUCCCGUCUCUUCUUUUCUCUUCAUCAAUGUCGGCCGCUCAGGAACAACGACCCAGCCACCCCUCAAGGAAAGGCAGGAGUGCAAACCCUUGGAGUUCAUGUAGAGUAUUCUGCCCUCAUGGGUCACAGAGGCCCUCCUUCCUCCGCCCCAUCAGAACCAGGCUGCCUGUUGUAUGUACAGCAGCAAAAAGAUUUGGAUGCAGACCGUGGUGGUUUCUUCAUAGUACACGUGCAGCCAGCCGUGUAUGUUCAAAUUCUCCCUGACGCCGUGUGAUGCUAGUGAUUUUGCCUGCCAUGCCGCAACCACGACGGUGGCGAUGUCCGGCCUCGGCUACAACUUGCACAGGAUUUGGCCUCUGGAUGGGUUUCUCGUGCCAGGCACCUCGACGACUUUUGCUAUGCUGUGGUGUUGUUUGGCAUUGGCUACACAAUAGCUAUGCAGGAUUCGAUUCGGUACAAUAAGGGGUUCGUCGUGCCAGGCUUCACGGCGCUGCUGCUUCCAUGUGACGGACUGACGGUGUUGUUUGGCAUCGGCUACAAAAACAGCCAUGGUGUCUCUGUUUACUAGUACUUGAGAGGGAAUUGGAAGUAGUUUGUUAACUGAAGCUUGGUCCUGCUCGACACCAAGGAGAGGCGCAAGGGGGUGCCUAGCACCGGCGCCGAAGAAUGCUGGUGCUCCUCUUCGUCUUCGACCUGCUCUGCUCCUUCAAGGUGAUAGCCGAAUGGUAUACGCGCGAGAUUCAUCUUCCACUCAAACGCCUCACGCCCUGCCCCUCCAGUAGCUGAUUCUUCUUCGACUCUGUCACAUGUGGCAAUCGGUGACUGGCGUGUUGAUUGGAUCCAAGGGAGGAGCUUAUGGUGUGUUGACACCAGUCUGUCCUUAUCUUGUGGCGUUGACAUCAUAAUCAUGUCCAGCCGAAAGGUAUCCAAUGUUCCCCUCUAAUUGAAAGAAAACUAAUCAGUUUGCCAUGCAGCUCGGCUAUGUCGUUAAAGUUGAUGGACUCACUUUAUAUUCCAAGCCUUCUGUUGUUAUCAUAUUAGAUGGCCUUAAGCCAUAUUUAUUGUAAUAAGUUUUCUUUUGAGACAUUCUAUGUAAUAAGUGUGUAAUUGAUACUCUGUUAUAAAUC
Triticum aestivum (bread wheat) is the source of this 4348-nucleotide long non-coding RNA. RefSeq lists it as uncharacterized. The transcript is spliced from 14 exons. NCBI's taxonomy places the organism in Eukaryota, Viridiplantae, Streptophyta, Magnoliopsida, Poales, Poaceae. The record is from RefSeq and is a predicted model, not a curated record.